AUACGUAGGGUGCGAGCGUUGUCCGGAAUUACUGGGCGUAAAGAGCUUGUAGGUGGUUUGUCGCGUCGUCUGUGAAAUUCCGGGGCUUAACUCCGGGCGUGCAGGCGAUACGGGCAUAACUUGAGUACUGUAGGGGAGACUGGAAUUCCUGGUGUAGCGGUGAAAUGCGCAGAUAUCAGGAGGAACACCGGUGGCGAAGGCGGGUCUCUGGGCAGUAACUGACGCUGAGGAGCGAAAGCAUGGGUAGCGAACAGGAUUAGAUACCCUGGUAGUCCAUGCCGUAAACGGUGGGCGCUAGGUGUAGGGGUCUUCCACGACUUCUGUGCCGUAGCUAACGCAUUAAGCGCCCCGCCUGGGGAGUACGGCCGCAAGGCUAAAACUCAAAGGAAUUGACGGGG
This 398-nucleotide ribosomal RNA is filed under the name uncultured bacterium. RNAcentral describes it as "partial 16S ribosomal RNA". It matches the Rfam family "Bacterial small subunit ribosomal RNA", at positions 523 to 918 of the family's 1533-position model. The record is from RNAcentral.